UCCUGGCUCAGGACGAACGCUGGCGGCGUGCCUAAUACAUGCAAGUCGAACGAAGCUUUCUUUCACCGAAUGCUUGCAUUCACUGAAAGAAGCUUAGUGGCGAACGGGUGAGUAACACGUAGGCAACCUGCCCAAAAGAGGGGGAUAACACUUGGAAACAGGUGCUAAUACCGCAUAACCAUGAACACCGCAUGAUGUUCAUGUAAAAGACGGCUUUUGCUGUCACUUUUGGAUGGGCCUGCGGCGUAUUAACUUGUUGGUGGGGUAACGGCCUACCAAGGUGAUGAUACGUAGCCGAACUGAGAGGUUGAUCGGCCACAUUGGGACUGAGACACGGCCCAAACUCCUACGGGAGGCAGCAGUAGGGAAUCUUCCACAAUGGACGAAAGUCUGAUGGAGCAACGCCGCGUGAAUGAAGAAGGCCUUCGGGUCGUAAAAUUCUGUUGUCAGAGAAGAACGUGCGUGAGAGUAACUGUUCACGUAUUGACGGUAUCUGACCAGAAAGCCACGGCUAACUACGUGCCAGCAGCCGCGGUAAUACGUAGGUGGCAAGCGUUGUCCGGAUUUAUUGGGCGUAAAGGGAACGCAGGCGGUCUUUUAAGUCUGAUGUGAAAGCCUUCGGCUUAACCGAAGUAGUGCAUUGGAAACUGGAAGACUUGAGUGCAGAAGAGGAGAGUGGAACUCCAUGUGUAGCGGUGAAAUGCGUAGAUAUAUGGAAGAACACCAGUGGCGAAAGCGGCUCUCUGGUCUGUAACUGACGCUGAGGUUCGAAAGCGUGGGUAGCAAACAGGAUUAGAUACCCUGGUAGUCCACGCCGUAAACGAUGAGUGCUAAGUGUUGGAGGGUUUCCGCCCUUCAGUGCUGCAGCUAACGCAUUAAGCACUCCGCCUGGGGAGUACGGUCGCAAGACUGAAACUCAAAGGAAUUGACG
RNAcentral lists this ribosomal RNA (931 nucleotides) under uncultured bacterium. RNAcentral describes it as "bacterial SSU rRNA". It matches the Rfam family "Bacterial small subunit ribosomal RNA", at positions 17 to 915 of the family's 1533-position model. The record is from RNAcentral.